RNAcentral lists this ribosomal RNA (460 nucleotides) under uncultured bacterium. RNAcentral's name for it is "partial 16S ribosomal RNA". It matches the Rfam family "Bacterial small subunit ribosomal RNA", at positions 338 to 795 of the family's 1533-position model. The record is from RNAcentral.
CCUACGGGUGGCAGCAGUGAGGAAUAUUGGUCAAUGGGCGGAAGCCUGAACCAGCCAAGUCGCGUGAGGGAUUAAGGCCCUGCGGGUCGUAAACCUCUUUUGCCGGGGAGCAGUGGUCCGGACGAGUCCGGGCCGGGAGAGUACCCGGAGAAAAAGCAUCGGCUAACUCCGUGCCAGCAGCCGCGGUAAUACGGAGGAUGCGAGCGUUAUCCGGAUUUAUUGGGUUUAAAGGGUGCGUAGGCGGGCAUUUAAGCCGGCGGUCAAAUGUCGGGGCUCAACCCCGGCCUGCCGUCGGAACUGGGUGCCUUGAGUGGGCGAGAAGUAUGCGGAAUGCGUGGUGGAGCGGUGAAAUGCAUAGAUAUCACGCAGAACCCCGAUUGCGAAGGCAGCAUACCGGCGCCCGACUGACGCUGAGGCACGAAAGUGCGGGUAUCGAACAGGAUUAGAUACCCCAGUAGUC